Molecule: ribosomal RNA, 468 nt
Filed under: uncultured bacterium
Lineage: Bacteria
Description: partial 16S ribosomal RNA
Rfam family: Bacterial small subunit ribosomal RNA
Source: RNAcentral
GAUGAACGCUGGCGGCGUGCUUAACACAUGCAAGUCGAACGGACAGGCGAUGCUUUUGCGGGGUGUUCGAGUGGGGCACGGGUGUGUAACACGUGAGUAUACUGGCCAUGGCUUUGUGAUAACUUCAGGAGACUGGGGAUAAUACAGGAUAGGAGCUCCUGCAGCACGGUGGGGGUUGGAAAGAUUCGGCGGUUGGGGAUGGACUCGCGGCUUAUCAGCUUGUUGGGGGAGUAGUGGCUUACCAAGUCUUCGACUGGUAGUCGGCCUGGGAGGGUGAACGGCCACAAGAGUACUAAGAGACGGCCCAGACGCGUAUGGUAGGCAGCAGUGGAGAAUCUUGCGCAAUGAUCGGGAGCCUGAGGCAGCGGCGCCGGGUUCGUAAUGACGUCUUUCGGGUGAUGAACCGCUGUCGCCUGAGACGAAGCGGGAUUGACGGUAAUGAGUAAAGAAGCACCGGCUAACUACGUG